Molecule: ribosomal RNA, 524 nt
Filed under: uncultured bacterium
Lineage: Bacteria
Description: bacterial SSU rRNA
Rfam family: Bacterial small subunit ribosomal RNA
Source: RNAcentral
UGGGGAAUAUUGGACAAUGGGCGAAAGCCUGAUCCAGCAAUGCCGCGUGAGUGAUGAAGGCCUUAGGGUUGUAAAGCUCUUUUACCCGGGAUGAUAAUGACAGUACCGGGAGAAUAAGCUCCGGCUAACUCCGUGCCAGCAGCCGCGGUAAUACGGAGGGAGCUAGCGUUGUUCGGAAUUACUGGGCGUAAAGCGCACGUAGGCGGCUUUGUAAGUUAGAGGUGAAAGCCUGGAGCUCAACUCCAGAACUGCCUUUAAGACUGCAUCGCUUGAAUCCAGGAGAGGUGAGUGGAAUUCCGAGUGUAGAGGUGAAAUUCGUAGAUAUUCGGAAGAACACCAGUGGCGAAGGCGGCUCACUGGACUGGUAUUGACGCUGAGGUGCGAAAGCGUGGGGAGCAGACAGGAUUAGAUACCCUGGUAGUCCACGCCGUAAACGAUGAUAACUAGCUGUCCGGGGACUUGGUCUUUGGGUGGCGCAGCUAACGCAUUAAGUUAUCCGCCUGGGGAGUACGGCCGCAAGGUUA